Molecule: ribosomal RNA, 259 nt
Filed under: uncultured archaeon
Lineage: Archaea
Description: partial 16S ribosomal RNA
Rfam family: Archaeal small subunit ribosomal RNA
Source: RNAcentral
CAGCCGUAAACUAUGCUCGCUAGGUGUCAGGCAUGGCGCGACCGUGUCUGGUGCCGCAGGGAAGCCGUGAAGCGAGCCACCUGGGAAGUACGGCCGCAAGGCUGAAACUUAACGGAAUUGGCGGGGGAGCACAACAACGGGUGGAGCCUGCGGUUUAAUUGGACUCAACGCCGGACAACUCACCGGGGACGACAGCAAUAUGUAGGCCAGGCUGAAGACCUUGCCUGAAUCGCUGAGAGGAGGUGCAUGGCGUAGACGU